This 164-nucleotide ribosomal RNA is filed under the name Brassica juncea (brown mustard). Its description in RNAcentral is "5.8S ribosomal RNA". It matches the Rfam family "5.8S ribosomal RNA". Rfam says of the family: 5.8S ribosomal RNA (5.8S rRNA) is a component of the large subunit of the eukaryotic ribosome. It is transcribed by RNA polymerase I as part of the 45S precursor that also contains 18S and 28S rRNA. The record is from RNAcentral. RNAcentral also lists the same sequence under 1 other name. Lineage: Eukaryota; Viridiplantae; Streptophyta; Magnoliopsida; Brassicales; Brassicaceae.
AAAACGACUCUCGGCAACGGAUAUCUCGGCUCUCGCAUCGAUGAAGAACGUAGCGAAAUGCGAUACUUGGUGUGAAUUGCAGAAUCCCGUGAACCAUCGAGUCUUUGAACGCAAGUUGCGCCCAAAGCCUUCUGGCCGAGGGCACGUCUGCCUGGGCGUCACAA